GGUGACAGUUGGCUUCGCUGCCCGGUCUUGAAAACCGUCGUGGCAGCGAUGUCACCGUGGGUUCAAAUCCCACACCCA
This 78-nucleotide transfer RNA is filed under the name Streptomyces sp. SID7982. RNAcentral describes it as "tRNA-Ser". The record is from RNAcentral. Lineage: Bacteria; Bacillati; Actinomycetota; Actinomycetes; Kitasatosporales; Streptomycetaceae.